RNAcentral lists this long non-coding RNA (555 nucleotides) under Cricetulus griseus (Chinese hamster). RNAcentral describes it as "lncRNA (ENSCGRG00000025603.1)". The record is from RNAcentral. Lineage: Eukaryota; Metazoa; Chordata; Mammalia; Rodentia; Cricetidae.
UGAGGCUUACCAGCUACUUGCCUGUUGCUAUAGUUUCUUUUCUAUGACUCUCAGUAAAAUGUACACCUUAUUCAUCCCUCCACUUGCAGAUGGAUACUGGGCUGUUCAUACCUUCCUAGGCUUUGGCAAGCAUCUUUUCCAGAUUCUUCUCUGGGAUGUGCUUUUCACUGUCUUAAUAGCAUCCUUUGAAGAAUAAACAGUUGGAUUCUUCAGCAAGCCUGCACCAACCCAAAUCCAGUGUUUGUUUCUGGUCCUGUUCAGUUUUGAGGCCCAGACCGCAUCAUUUGUAACUCCAAUUCCAAGGGAUCUGUCACCUGUUCUUUGCUCUGUGGUCACCUGCACACACAUACAAAUGCCACACACUCAAUAAAACAAAAUCCUUUUUUUUUUCUUUUUUUUUUUUUUCUUUUUUCUUUUUUUCGAGACAGGGUUUCUCUGUGUAGCUUUGGAGCCUAUCCUGGCACUCGCUCUGGAGACCAGGCUGGCCUCAAACUCUGCCUGCCUCUGCCUCCCGAGUACUGGGAUUAAAGGCGUGAGCCACUAAGCCCGACGAUU